Molecule: non-coding RNA, 123 nt
Filed under: chicken gut metagenome
Description: FMN riboswitch (RFN element)
Rfam family: FMN riboswitch aptamer (RFN element)
About the family: The RFN element is a highly conserved domain that is found frequently in the 5'-untranslated regions of prokaryotic mRNAs that encode for flavin mononucleotide (FMN) biosynthesis and transport proteins. This element is a metabolite-dependent riboswitch that directly binds FMN in the absence of proteins. In Bacillus subtilis, the riboswitch most likely controls gene expression by causing premature transcription termination within the 5' untranslated region of the ribDEAHT operon and precluding access to the ribosome-binding site of ypaA mRNA.
Source: RNAcentral
GUCUUCAGGGCAGGGUGUAAUUCCCGACCGGCGGUAAAGUCCGCGAGCACUGCACCAUUUUUGGGCGCAGGCCGACUCGGUUAAAUUCCGAGACCGACAGUAUAGUCUGGAUGGAAGAAGGCG